AAUCAACGCUGGCGGCGUGCCUAACACAUGCAAGUCGAACGCGAAAGCCCCGCAAGGGGUAAGUAGAGUGGCAAACGGGUGAGUAACACGUGGGUGACCUGCCUUCGAGUGGGGGAUAACGUCCCGAAAGGGACGCUAAUACCGCAUGACAUCCUGCUUUUGAAAAAGCGGAGAUCAAAGCUGGGGAUCGCAAGACCUAGCGCUUGAAGAGGGGCCCGCGCCUGAUUAGCUAGUUGGUGAGGUAACGGCUCACCAAGGCGACGAUCAGUAUCCGGCCUGAGGGGGCGGACGGACCCACUGGGACUGGGACACGGCCCAGACUCCUACGGGAGGCAGCAGUGGGGAAUUGUUCGCAAUGGGCGCAAGCCUGACGACGCAACGCCGCGUGGAGGACGAAGAUCUUCGGGUCGUAAACUCCUGUCGAGCGGGACGAACGCUUCGCGGAUGAAUAAUCCGCGGAAUUGACGGUACCGCUAAAGGAAGCCCCGGCUAACUCCGUG
RNAcentral lists this ribosomal RNA (500 nucleotides) under uncultured bacterium. RNAcentral's name for it is "partial 16S ribosomal RNA". It matches the Rfam family "Bacterial small subunit ribosomal RNA", at positions 29 to 507 of the family's 1533-position model. The record is from RNAcentral.